Long non-coding RNA from Centruroides sculpturatus (bark scorpion), 422 nucleotides. RefSeq lists it as uncharacterized. Lineage: Eukaryota; Metazoa; Arthropoda; Arachnida; Scorpiones; Buthidae. The transcript is spliced from 3 exons. The record is from RefSeq and is a predicted model, not a curated record.
CGCGUGCUUGUGAUCUGUAAAGAAAAACUGGAUUGACAAGUAAUAGAAUUUCGAAUUUGCAUAGUUUUUGUGCCACGUAAGACCAUGUGGAUAUUUGCUAUUACGAUAAUCUGUAAUUUAAUCCAGUAUAUAGAUAAUAAUCGCCUUACAUCACCGACUGUAUUAUUACCAUGCAAUAUUGAUGUACCUACUAAUUACACACUUAGCAUCUCUGAAGGAUGCUACAAAUGAAAUUUCUUUUUACUAGUUCAUCUGGUUCAUUUGGUUUUGGAUGUUGCAAAAUUAACAAAAGGAAAGGACUUCAGUAUCGAAUGAUGCAGUUGAUAUCAUUUUUGAAGAUAGUUGUCGUUCUAGUGUUGUAGUUUCUGCUAAAUCUAAGAUCUGCCAACGACAACUUAUUUCCGUUUUUGCAGAAAAUGUUG